This 413-nucleotide ribosomal RNA is filed under the name uncultured bacterium. Its description in RNAcentral is "bacterial SSU rRNA". It matches the Rfam family "Bacterial small subunit ribosomal RNA", at positions 356 to 767 of the family's 1533-position model. The record is from RNAcentral.
AAGGAAUAUUGGUCAAUGGACGCAAGUCUGAACCAGCCAUGCCGCGUGAAGGAUGAAGGUCCUCUGGAUUGUAAACUUCUUUUAUCUGGGACGAAAACGGGAUUUUUAUCUCAAUUGACGGUACCAGAGGAAUAAGCACCGGCUAACUCCGUGCCAGCAGCCGCGGUAAUACGGAGGGUGCGAGCGUUAUCCGGAUUUACUGGGUUUAAAGGGUGCGUAGGUGGGCUUAUAAGUCAGUGGUGAAAUCUCCGAGCUUAACUUGGAAACUGCCGUUGAUACUAUAGGUCUUGAAUUAUCUGGAGGUAAGCGGAAUAUGUCAUGUAGCGGUGAAAUGCUUAGAUAUGACAUAGAACACCAAUUGCGAAGGCAGCUUACUACAUAUAAAUUGACGCUGAGGCACGAAAGCGUGGGGA